Molecule: non-coding RNA, 454 nt
Organism: Pelobates cultripes (western spadefoot toad)
Lineage: Eukaryota; Metazoa; Chordata; Amphibia; Anura; Pelobatidae
Source: the annotation of a GenBank genome assembly
CUAAAAACGCGGGGAUAGGCUCCAUUUAUUACUUACCAGUUUCGUGCCUUACGCCAUUCGUGUACUUUUGCGUUCGUGCAUCUAACAGCCGAACACAGAGUUCACACACACCUUUAUUUCUUGUUCGUCUAAAUUACUAUGUAUUGACCGCUCAUACUUACCCUAUGUUCGGCUGUUUGACACGUUCGUACAGCCGAACACACAUGCAAACGUUUACCUUAACUGACUGCAGAUGAUUUAUUUGUUAAUCCAUCUCACAUGUUCGGUAGCUGAACACGGGAGGUUUAAACAGGUAUUCUCUAUAAGCUAUGUGUGUAUCCCAGUAUGUAAACUGUAAUAUGACAUUUUCCUAUUUCUUAAAAGUGUAUAGUUUGUGUCUACUCCCCGUAUACAACAAAGACUGUGGGGCACCAAUUCCCAGCCCUCCGUUACAUUUAAUUAUGAACAAAUUGCC